GGUUAAGCGACUAAGCGUACACGGUGGAUGCCCUGGCAGUCAGAGGCGAUGAAGGACGUGCUAAUCUGCGAAAAGCGUCGGUAAGGUGAUAUGAACCGUUAUAGCCGGCGAUGUCCGAAUGGGGAAACCCAGUGCAAUUCGUUGCACUAUCGUUAACUGAAUACAUAGGUUAACGAGGCGAACCGGGGGAACUGAAACAUCUAAGUACCCCGAGGAAAAGAAAUCAACCGAGAUUCCCCCAGUAGCGGCGAGCGAACGGGGAGCAGCCCAGAGUCUGAAUCAGCUUGUGUGUUAGUGGAACGGUCUGGAAAGUCCGACGGUACAGGGUGAUAGUCCCGUACACCAAAAUGCACAGGUUGUGAACUCGAAGAGUAGGGCGGGACACGUGGUAUCCUGUCUGAAUAUGGGGGGACCAUCCUCCAAGGCUAAAUACUCCUGACUGACCGAUAGUGAACCAGUACCGUGAGGGAAAGGCGAAAAGAACCCCGGCGAGGGGAGUGAAAAAGAACCUGAAACCGUGUACGUACAAGCAGUGGGAGCACCUUCGGGUGUGACUGCGUACCUUUUGUAUAAUGGGUCAGCGACUUAUAUUCUGUAGCAAGGUUAACCGUAUAGGGGAGCCGCAGGGAAACCGAGUCUUAACUGGGCGUUAAGUUGCAGGGUAUAGACCCGAAACCCGGUGAUCUAGCCAUGGGCAGGUUGAAGGUUGGGUAACACUAACUGGAGGACCGAACCGACUAAUGUUGAAAAAUUAGCGGAUGACUUGUGGCUGGGGGUGAAAGGCCAAUCAAACCGGGAGAUAGCUGGUUCUCCCCGAAAGCUAUUUAGGUAGCGCCUCGUGAACUCAUCUUCGGGGGUAGAGCACUGUUUCGGCUAGGGGGUCAUCCCGACUUACCAACCCGAUGCAAACUACGAAUACCGAAGAAUGUUAUCACGGGAGACACACGGCGGGUGCUAACGUCCGUCGUGAAGAGGGAAACAACCCAGACCGCCAGCUAAGGUCCCAAAGUCAUGGUUAAGUGGGAAACGAUGUGGGAAGGCACAGACAGCCAGGAUGUUGGCUUAGAAGCAGCCAUCAUUUAAAGAAAGCGUAAUAGCUCACUGGUCGAGUCGGCCUGCGCGGAAGAUGUAACGGGGCUAAACCAUGCACCGAAGCUGCGGCAGCGACACUAUGUGUUGUUGGGUAGGGGAGCGUUCUGUAAGCCUGCGAAGGUGUGCUGUGAGGCAUGCUGGAGGUAUCAGAAGUGCGAAUGCUGACAUAAGUAACGAUAAAGCGGGUGAAAAGCCCGCUCGCCGGAAGACCAAGGGUUCCUGUCCAACGUUAAUCGGGGCAGGGUGAGUCGACCCCUAAGGCGAGGCCGAAAGGCGUAGUCGAUGGGAAACAGGUUAAUAUUCCUGUACUUGGUGUUACUGCGAAGGGGGGACGGAGAAGGCUAUGUUAGCCGGGCGACGGUUGUCCCGGUUUAAGCAUGUAGGCUGGUUGUCCAGGCAAAUCCGGAUAAUCAAGGCUGAGGUGUGAUGACGAGGCACUACGGUGCUGAAGUAACAAAUGCCCUGCUUCCAGGAAAAGCCUCUAAGCAUCAGGUAACAUUAAAUCGUACCCCAAACCGACACAGGUGGUCAGGUAGAGAAUACCAAGGCGCUUGAGAGAACUCGGGUGAAGGAACUAGGCAAAAUGGUGCCGUAACUUCGGGAGAAGGCACGCUGGUGUGUAGGUGAAGCCCCUGCGGGUGGAGCUGAGACCAGUCGAAGAUACCAGCUGGCUGCAACUGUUUAUUAAAAACACAGCACUGUGCAAACACGAAAGUGGACGUAUACGGUGUGACGCCUGCCCGGUGCCGGAAGGUUAAUUGAUGGGGUUAUCCGUAAGGAGAAGCUCUUGAUCGAAGCCCCGGUAAACGGCGGCCGUAACUAUAACGGUCCUAAGGUAGCGAAAUUCCUUGUCGGGUAAGUUCCGACCUGCACGAAUGGCGUAAUGAUGGCCAGGCUGUCUCCACCCGAGACUCAGUGAAAUUGAACUCGCUGUGAAGAUGCAGUGUACCCGCGGCAAGACGGAAAGACCCCGUGAACCUUUACUAUAGCUUGACACUGAACAUUGAGCCUUGAUGUGUAGGAUAGGUGGGAGGCUUUGAAGCGUGGACGCCAGUCUGCGUGGAGCCAACCUUGAAAUACCACCCUUUAAUGUUUGAUGUUCUAACGUUGGCCCCUUACCGGGGUUGCGGACAGUGUCUGGUGGGUAGUUUGACUGGGGCGGUCUCCUCCCAAAGCGUAACGGAGGAGCACGAAGGUUAGCUAAUCCUGGUCGGACAUCAGGAGGUUAGUGCAAUGGCAUAAGCUAGCUUGACUGCGAGCGUGACGGCGCGAGCAGGUGCGAAAGCAGGUCAUAGUGAUCCGGUGGUUCUGAAUGGAAGGGCCAUCGCUCAACGGAUAAAAGGUACUCCGGGGAUAACAGGCUGAUACCGCCCAAGAGUUCAUAUCGACGGCGGUGUUUGGCACCUCGAUGUCGGCUCAUCACAUCCUGGGGCUGAAGUAGGUCCCAAGGGUAUGGCUGUUCGCCAUUUAAAGUGGUACGCGAGCUGGGUUUAGAACGUCGUGAGACAGUUCGGUCCCUAUCUGCCGUGGGCGCUGGAGAAUUGAGGGGGGCUGCUCCUAGUACGAGAGGACCGGAGUGGACGCAUCACUGGUGUUCGGGUUGUCAUGCCAAUGGCACUGCCCGGUAGCUAAAUGCGGAAGAGAUAAGUGCUGAAAGCAUCUAAGCACGAAACUUGCCCCGAGAUGAGUUCUCCCUGAGACUUUAAGUCUCCUGAAGGAACGUUGAAGACGACGACGUUGAUAGGCCGGGUGUGUAAGCGCAGCGAUGCGUUGAGCUAACCGGUACUAAUGAACCGUGAGGCUUAACCUU
This 2902-nucleotide ribosomal RNA is filed under the name Klebsiella pneumoniae. RNAcentral describes it as "23S ribosomal RNA". It matches the Rfam family "Bacterial large subunit ribosomal RNA". The record is from RNAcentral. Lineage: Bacteria; Pseudomonadati; Pseudomonadota; Gammaproteobacteria; Enterobacterales; Enterobacteriaceae.